AGAAUCAACGCUGGCGGCGUGCCUAACACAUGCAAGUCGAACGAGAAAGUGGAGCAAUCCAUGAGUAAAGUGGCGCACGGGUGAGUAACACGUGACUAACCUACCCUUGAGUGGGGAAUAACUUCGGGAAACCGAGGCUAAUACCGCAUAAUACCUACGGGUCAAAGGAGCAAUUCGCUUAAGGAGGGGGUCGCGGCAGAGUUAGUUAGUUGGCAGGGUAAUGGCCUACCAAGACGGUGAUCUGUA
Molecule: ribosomal RNA, 246 nt
Filed under: uncultured bacterium
Lineage: Bacteria
Description: partial small subunit ribosomal RNA
Rfam family: Bacterial small subunit ribosomal RNA
Source: RNAcentral